Molecule: ribosomal RNA, 482 nt
Filed under: uncultured bacterium
Lineage: Bacteria
Description: partial 16S ribosomal RNA
Rfam family: Bacterial small subunit ribosomal RNA
Source: RNAcentral
AUUGAACGCUGGCGGCAUGCCUUACACAUGCAAGUCGAACGGUAACGGGCCUUCGGGUGCCGACGAGUGGCGAACGGGUGAGUAAUACAUCGGAACGUGCCCGAUCGUGGGGGAUAACGAGGCGAAAGCUUUGCUAAUACCGCAUACGAUCUACGGAUGAAAGCAGGGGACCGCAAGGCCUUGCGCGGACGGAGCGGCCGAUGGCAGAUUAGGUAGUCGGUGGGAUAAAAGCUUACCAAGCCGACGAUCUGUAGCUGGUCUGAGAGGAUGAUCAGCCACACUGGGACUGAGACACGGCCCAGACUCCUACGGGAGGCAGCAGUGGGGAAUUUUGGACAAUGGGCGCAAGCCUGAUCCAGCCAUGCCGCGUGCAGGAUGAAGGCCUUCGGGUUGUAAACUGCUUUUGUACGGAACGAAAAGCCUUCUUUUAAUACAGGAGGGUCAUGACGGUACCGUAAGAAUAAGCACCGGCUAACUACGUG